Molecule: long non-coding RNA, 989 nt
Filed under: Panax ginseng (ginseng)
Lineage: Eukaryota; Viridiplantae; Streptophyta; Magnoliopsida; Apiales; Araliaceae
Description: long non-coding RNA (PGIN_LNC001108)
Source: RNAcentral
AUCACUCCAUACCCCGACUCGAUCCUGCUAUGUUCUCACCUCCUUAGAAGAAAAAUGGAACAAAAAGGAAAGGGUGAGCUCAACUAGCCCAGUAAAGAAUAUUAUGACUAAGAUGAUAUACAACAAAUUAUCGUUAGUCUUCAACAGGGAAAAAUCUGAUAUAAUAGACAACAAGUUUUAGAUCAAUAAAUGCAGCGGAACAGCAAUCCAUUAGAAGAGUCACGUAGAGAAAGAAUUCUACUGUCUUCUAAGGUUUAAAAGUCCAUCAUCAAUAUUUUAUCCCUGUAACAACAAUCAAUAUUCAUCUUUAAUCAUCUUUGCACUACAGGCCAAAGAUAUUCAUUUGUAUCACCAGUUGGUCAUGUUCAUCUCAACACCUGUUCAUCUUUGCACUACAGGCCAAAGAUAUUCAUCAGUUAAUCGUUCAUCUUUGCACUACAGGCCAAAGAUAUUCAUUUAUAUCACCAUUUAGGACUGAGGAUGAUGAAAAACAUUUUUAAAGAAACGAAUCCAGUGAAACAAAAUGACAAGGAUUAAGGAUUAAGGAUUCGUACUUUGUUUUACCCAUGUCCAAAAAUACUUCGAAAAUAAUCAUAUUGGUGUAAAAUUCAAGAAUGAUCAAAACAUGGAUACAAUCAAAGCUAGUAUCCAGAAUAGAUAUUUUGGACAAAAAGAAAAAUUUUUAUUUUUCGGUGAAUAGUGCCGUAUUCGUGAAUAGUGUCGUAUACGUGAAUAGUGCCGUAUACGUGAAUAGUAACCCCGACACAACAAGUUCCAAAUUUGAUAAAAAAGUUCACCAAUACUUCGGCAUAAUGAUAUUGAAGAAAAAAUAUCAUUUAAGAAGAAAAUAAUACCCCUUACCUCAAAAUAACCGUACUUCUGACUGAAUUUCGGUAUAGUGCUGACAGAAACCCGCACCGUAUAGCAACACUCAAAGUAUACUCACAAGAAUACGCUCGAUAAUUUAGAGAGAGAAAGAGAGAAAACUU